Non-coding RNA from Chiloscyllium plagiosum (whitespotted bambooshark), 317 nucleotides. The record is from RefSeq and is a predicted model, not a curated record. NCBI's taxonomy places the organism in Eukaryota, Metazoa, Chordata, Chondrichthyes, Orectolobiformes, Hemiscylliidae.
AUGAAUGCUUCUAUUUUUGUUUCAAAAAAUUGUUGAUAUUCAUUGAUAUUUUCAAGAGCUAUAGAUCACAAUCUAAUUGUUGUGAAUUUUAGUUUUGUGAGAAGAUUGUCUCCAAUAUUUUCAGAUGCGAUCCUUUAAGAGGAUGUUUAAUGCUUUUCAUCGCUGUUUGAGACUUCAGGACUACAGGGAGUAGCUUUGCAGAUAUUCCAGUCACCCAUGUGCCUUUGGCUGCUCUGGUGCCCCUGUGCAAUAUUACCCAGCCUUCACAGAUGAAAGGUUACUGACUUUAUUGGAAGAGACUUCACAUGGUUAUGGAG